This 253-nucleotide ribosomal RNA is filed under the name uncultured bacterium. Its description in RNAcentral is "partial 16S ribosomal RNA". It matches the Rfam family "Bacterial small subunit ribosomal RNA", at positions 524 to 776 of the family's 1533-position model. The record is from RNAcentral.
CACGUAGGGCGCAAGCGUUGUCCGGAAUUAUUGGGCGUAAAGAGCUCGUAGGUGGUUUGCUGCGUCCGCUGUGAAAACCCAAGGCUUAACCUUGGGCUUGCAGUGGAUACGGGCAGACUAGAGGUAGGUAGGGGAGAAUGGAAUUCCCGGUGUAGCGGUGAAAUGCGCAGAUAUCGGGAGGAACACCGGUGGCGAAGGCGGUUCUCUGGGCCUUACCUGACACUGAGGAGCGAAAGCUAGGGGAGCGAACGGG